RNAcentral lists this ribosomal RNA (492 nucleotides) under uncultured bacterium. Its description in RNAcentral is "partial 16S ribosomal RNA". It matches the Rfam family "Bacterial small subunit ribosomal RNA", at positions 29 to 507 of the family's 1533-position model. The record is from RNAcentral.
AGUGAACGCUGGCGGUAGGCCUAACACAUGCAAGUCGAACGGCAGCACAGUAAGAGCUUGCUCUUACGGGUGGCGAGUGGCGGACGGGUGAGGAGUACAUCGGAAUCUACUUUUUCGUGGGGGAUAACGUAGGGAAACUUACGCUAAUACCGCAUACGACCUACGGGUGAAAGCAGGGGAUCUUCGGACCUUGCGCGAUUGAAUGAGCCGAUGUCGGAUUAGCUAGUUGGCGGGGUAAAGGCCCACCAAGGCGACGAUCCGUAGCUGGUCUGAGAGGAUGAUCAGCCACACUGGAACUGAGACACGGUCCAGACUCCUACGGGAGGCAGCAGUGGGGAAUAUUGGACAAUGGGCGCAAGCCUGAUCCAGCCAUACCGCGUGGGUGAAGAAGGCCUUCGGGUUGUAAAGCCCUUUUGUUGGGAAAGAAGAGCAGCAGGUUAAUACCCCGCUGUUCUGACGGUACCCAAAGAAUAAGCACCGGCUAACUUCGUG